UGCGCAGGCGGUGAUGUAAGACAGAUGUGAAUCCCCGGGCUCAACCUGGGAACUGCAUUUGUGACUGCAUCGCUGGAGUGCGGCAGAGGGGGAUGGAAUUCCGCGUGUAGCAGUGAAAUGCGUAGAUAUGCGGAGGAACACCGAUGGCGAAGGCAAUCCCCUGGGCCUGCACUGACGCUCAUGCACGAAAGCGUGGGGAGCAAACA
This 206-nucleotide ribosomal RNA is filed under the name uncultured bacterium. RNAcentral's name for it is "partial 16S ribosomal RNA". It matches the Rfam family "Bacterial small subunit ribosomal RNA", at positions 568 to 774 of the family's 1533-position model. The record is from RNAcentral.